GGUGUAGCUCAGUGGUAAAACGAAUGUUUUUCAUGCAUGAGAAGCUGGGUUCAAUCCCCAGCACC
RNAcentral lists this transfer RNA (65 nucleotides) under Marmota marmota marmota (Alpine marmot). It matches the Rfam family "tRNA". From Rfam's summary of the family: Transfer RNA (tRNA) molecules are approximately 80 nucleotides in length. RNAcentral also lists the same sequence under 3 other names. Lineage: Eukaryota; Metazoa; Chordata; Mammalia; Rodentia; Sciuridae. The record is from Rfam by way of RNAcentral.